UUGGAGGGCAAGUCUGGUGCCAGCACCCGCGGUAAUUCCAGCUCCAAUAGCGUAUAUUAAAGUUGUUGCAGUUAAAAAGCUCGUAGUUGAAUUUCGGGAUCAAUUUAUCGGUCGUGCCUCUGGUAUGCACUGGUAUUAUUGAUUUCUACCUUCUGACGAACCAUGAUGUCAUUAAUUUGGUGUCAUGGGGAAUCAGGACUGUUACUUUGAAAAAAUUAGAGUGUUUAAAGCAAGCACACGCUUGAAUACAUUAGCAUGGGAUAAUGAAAUAGGACGUUUGACCCUAUUUUGUUGGUUUCUAGGAUCGACGUAAUGAUUAAUAGGGAUAGUUGGGGGCAUUAGUAUUCAAUUGUCAGAGGUGAAGUUCUUGGAUUUAUUGAAGACUAACUACUGCGAAAGCAUUUGCCAAGGAUGUUUUCAUUAAUCAAGAACGAAAGUUAGGGGAUCGAAGACGAUCAGAUACCGUCGUAGUCUUAACCAUAAACUAUGCCGACUAGGGAUCGGAUGAUGUUAAUUUUUUAAUGACUCAUUCGGCGCCUUACGGGAAAC
Molecule: ribosomal RNA, 549 nt
Filed under: uncultured Glomeromycotina
Lineage: Eukaryota; Fungi; Glomeromycota
Description: SSU rRNA
Rfam family: Eukaryotic small subunit ribosomal RNA
Source: RNAcentral